AAAUGGUCCACAAUGUCAACACUCAAAUUCUAUAUUGUUAUCAAUGCAGAAUUCUGUAACUUUUUCUGCUUCUGACAAAACAGUAAAAGAAAACCCAAAUAAGAUAUUGCCAUUUUUAAAUGCUGUUAUAAGUUUGCAAUCUAUAUUUGAAGUCAGGACAAAAACCAGGAGUGUUCUCAAGACCUGAUAAUGUUUUAGGUAGAGAAUAAACAUUUUACAAAUUCUGUAAUGCACUUCUUUCGGCCAUUUUUAAGGAAAUCAGGUGGUUUUGCUAUGAACUAUGGGAUAUUACACAAAAAUCCUCAUAAAAAUGAACAAAUAUUUCCAAGAACAUGCAGUUAAACAAGUACU
RNAcentral lists this long non-coding RNA (351 nucleotides) under Mytilus galloprovincialis (Mediterranean mussel). Lineage: Eukaryota; Metazoa; Mollusca; Bivalvia; Mytilida; Mytilidae. The record is from RNAcentral.